CAGGAUAUAAACAAGGUAAACAUGACCGAAGGAUUCUCGCUGCAGCAAAGAGGCAUUCUUGCUACAGUGAAAUUAAGAGCACAAGUUUCUGAACCAAACCCGAGAGUUUCUCAUUGCAGCAAGAUUCAUUCUCGUUGUAGCGAAAUUUAAAGCAUGGAUUAAGACUGCCUACCCGAGAGUUUCUCGCUAUAGCAAAAUAAAUCUCGCUGCGGUGAGAAAUAAAACAAUUUAGUUGAAGGGGUCUUGUUACAUCAAAAAGCCAUUUCUUGCUGAAAUGAAAAACAAUUUGGGAGCAAUUAACAAUGCCAACAUACAAAACAUACACAAAUAUUUUCAUAAACUUUCUAUAACAUAUAUAUAUAUAUACAUACAUCAUCAUGCAUACCAUCCCACCACACUCAACUCAUGUGCACUCCCUAUUCGCACAUAGCUGGGUCAUCAUCAGCUCAUGUGCACUCCCACACCUCACAUAGUUGGGUCAUCAUCAGCUCAUGUGCACUCCCUAUUCGCACAUAGCCGGGUCAUCAUCAACUCAUGUGUACUCCCACAUCGCACACAGCCGGGUCAUCAUCAGCCCAUAUGCACUCCCACACUGCACAUAGCUGGGUCAUUAUUAUCACACAAAAGGAGCAUCCAAAGCAUAAUAUACAUAUCAAUAUAAUGUGAUAACGCAUGAACUAUUCAUAUUGCAUAUUUCACAAGAUAGAAACAUUUCAUCAAGGGCUUGUUCCCCAAGUAUAUUUUUUAAAAAAGCAAAAACAAAUGAAACUUUCAAAUGAUUUAUUUAAACAUAUAGGCACUUCCCAAAACAUUUUGAAAUGCAAGUUCACUCACCUUAUGAUAGUUGGAUAUUAUAUCGCUAUUUUUUCGGAGGCAUAUCUAGCUAUUCCUACAUGCCAGUCGCUCGUUAUUUCCCCCGGCACACCACCACAAUACUCUACCUUUACUGUUACACUUCCUAGCAACAAUCCCAAUUCAAUAUCUUUAGCGUUCAUCAUUUAUACUUCCCUUUUUCAUUCAAUCAUGAAUCCUUAUUCAACUUAACUUAUCUUGACACAAUUUUUUCCAAAGUUGCUUUUAUCCCUUGCUUGCGUAAUUCUUUAAAUUAUGAUUACUGGCAAUUUGUUUAUGACUCUAACACAUAUAUUAAUCUUUUCUAAGGGUAUUUAUCAAGUUCAACCAUCCUUUCCACAACAACCACAAUUUCUCACAAUAUUCCUGUCACGACCUGGUACUCCCCUCGAGCUCGUGACAAUCGUCGUGAUGUCCUGAUAGACAUUCUUUGCCCGGAAUGCCAACCGGAACCUCACAAGGCUUUAAUAUCGAUUUUCGCACCUCCCCUGUGAGCAACAAUUGUUAAGUAUCAUGUUUUGAGAGAUUAUAAACUAUUUUCAACUCAAAACAAUAGAAAAAUAAUUUUUUUCUCACAGGGGUAUUUUGGUCAUUUUCUCAAAAAUUUCGAAACCAGCUAAAAAUGUAGUAUGUGAGUGGAAAACACAUAUUUCAUAAUAAAAAUAAGUUUAGAUAUCUAAAACAUUCAUUUAAAUUGAAAUUAUAACUAUUUGAAUAUAAUAGAAAUAUUCAAUAAAAUAUUCUAUUUUCUUAUAAAACAAUAUUUAUAGAGUUACCGGUAAAUAAUUUUUAUAGCAUAAAGCUCAAUAAAUUCAUACAUACUGUAAUACAGAUAACCAAAGUAUAAAAUUUAAUUUACAGUGACAUGUGGGCCCACGAACGACUAAAAGUAUUAAAAGUAGUAAACCUAUAGUUUUUGAGGAUGUAAGUCCAACUGUAGCCUUCAACAAAGUGAGCUAUCUACCGACUAUCCUGAGCCUGAAAGGGCUGGAAAGGAGGGUGGUGAAAUUAUAUAAUCCAGUGAGUAAACAAAUACCAUCUAAAAUAUCUAAAUUUGAGUAAAUGGAGACAGAUAAAAUAAUUUAUCAUACUGUAAUUCAUCACCUUUCAAAUAAAUAAAAUCAAUUCAUAUAAAUCGAGUAAUCAACAUGGCUUAUGAAGUUUUUAAAAGCUUUGGCUUGUGCCAAAAUCAUUCUUAUUCUCAGUUAUCAGGGAUACCUUGGCCGAGGGCUAUCCCAACCGAGUCCGUCAAGGCUGUUAAAAAUUUCAAAUACACAUAAACAUAUUUUUAUUUUGAAAACAUAGUCGUUCCUUGGCGUUGGCUGAGUUCACCCUCACGUGGUGGUUUGGCGUGAAGUAAACUCUAAAAGUGUACCUCAGGAGUUACCUUACACGCCUCUCCGAUCGAGGUAAGAAUAUAAUAGGGUUAUCGUGCCCCUCUAAUAGGCUGGUCCAUGGAACCCGCCCACUGCAGCAAGCUAAACCCACCAAUUCAAUAAAAUCUCAACCACAUGACAUGGCAAUUAUAUCACAAUCCAGCCUCUCGAGGCUAAAUACACAGUUCAUAUAUUUUCAGCACAUUUACCAAUUUAGCCAUUCAUGCAAAUAUUGUCAUAAGCCAUUCUAUUCAAACCAUGAAUUUACAACACAUGAAAACAGUCUCCAAUUACUCUAUUUUCAAAACCAUCAUUCAAUCUCAAGACAAUUUUAUAAAAUCAUUUUCAUUUAAUCUCAUUUUGCUUAUAAAACAUAAAGAUUUACCAAUUAAACUCAUUUUCCAUAAAAUCACAAAAUCAGAUAAAACCACUUUAGAUAAUUAAGACGAUAGUAAGGUUACUCACUAUUUUAGGAGUCGAAUUCCGAGUACUCCGAUUCUUGAUCCUCAGGUACUAUCUCUUUACUUUUGCCAAAAUGCUCAUCACCU
This 2776-nucleotide long non-coding RNA is filed under the name Theobroma cacao (cacao). Its description in RNAcentral is "long non-coding RNA (TCAC_LNC000425)". The record is from RNAcentral. Lineage: Eukaryota; Viridiplantae; Streptophyta; Magnoliopsida; Malvales; Malvaceae.